CCUACGGGUGGCAGCAGUGAGGAAUAUUGGUCAAUGGACGGAAGUCUGAACCAGCCAUGCCGCGUGCAGGAAGACGGCUCUAUGAGUUGUAAACUGCUUUUGUACAAGGGUAAACCUGAAUACGUGUAUUCAGCUGGAAUUACUUUCCGAAUAAGGACAGUCUAACUCCGUCCCAGCAGCCGCGGUAAUACGGAGGAUCCAACCUUUAACCGGAUUUUUUGGGUUGAAGGGGGGCGUAGGCGGAUUGAUAAGUUAGCGGUGAAAUGUCCGAGCUUAACUCGGGAACUGCCUCUAAUACUGUUGAUCUAGAGAGUAGAUGCGGUAGGCGGAAUGUAUGGUGUAGCGGUGAAAUGCUUAGAGAUCAUACAGAACACCGAUUGCGAAGGCAGCUUACCAAUCUAUAUCUGACGUUGAGGCACGAAAGCGUGGGGAGCAAACAGGAUUAGAUACCCGAGUAGUC
This 460-nucleotide ribosomal RNA is filed under the name uncultured bacterium. Its description in RNAcentral is "partial 16S ribosomal RNA". It matches the Rfam family "Bacterial small subunit ribosomal RNA", at positions 338 to 795 of the family's 1533-position model. The record is from RNAcentral.